GGUAGGAUGGCUGAGAAUUAAGCGGUGGAUUGUAGCCCCAUAGACAGAGGUUCGAGUCCUCUUCCCACCA
RNAcentral lists this transfer RNA (70 nucleotides) under Psammoperca waigiensis. RNAcentral's name for it is "tRNA-Tyr". It matches the Rfam family "tRNA". Rfam says of the family: Transfer RNA (tRNA) molecules are approximately 80 nucleotides in length. Their secondary structure includes four short double-helical elements and three loops (D, anti-codon, and T loops). Lineage: Eukaryota; Metazoa; Chordata; Actinopteri; Centropomidae. The record is from RNAcentral.